AUUUUCAUUGAAACUUACCGAAUCGCAAACUCAACUCCGAAGCCACACAUCCCAAAUUAAAAAUGAAAAUAGCCAAAAACAAACAGCAGAAAUCCAUUUUAACACUUUAACUAACCGCAAGAGCCGCAGCUCUUUACUUUAUUUAAUAAAAUUACGGAAAUAUAUUCCUGUAAUAAGUAAGGUAUGAACAGAGUCAAGAAAACAUAAAAUAUUAUGCGUAAUUUUUCAAACAUUAUAGCGUUUAACAAGCCAUGAUUUUAUCUGGCCGAAAAUAAUUAAAAAGAAACGUUUAUUUCUGAACGCAUCCGGAACUUUUUUUCAAGUCUGGCGGGAAAUAAUUUAGAAUGAAUACUGAAUUUGAACUUGAAUCCUUGAAGUAAAAUGAUGAAA
Cydia splendana is the source of this 390-nucleotide long non-coding RNA. RefSeq lists it as uncharacterized. The record is from RefSeq and is a predicted model, not a curated record. The transcript has 2 exons. NCBI's taxonomy places the organism in Eukaryota, Metazoa, Arthropoda, Insecta, Lepidoptera, Tortricidae.